GCUGACACAGCCCGGCCAAUUUCCAGAAGACCCUCCCUCCCAGACCCUCCCACCUCCUGGACAGCAUCCAUGUUGAAGGCAGCUUCAACAUGGAUGCUGUCCAGGAGGUGGGAGGGUCUAGGAGGGAGGGUCUGCUGGAGAUUGACCGGGAUGUGUCAG
RNAcentral lists this microRNA precursor (159 nucleotides) under Pelobates cultripes (western spadefoot toad). The record is from RNAcentral. Lineage: Eukaryota; Metazoa; Chordata; Amphibia; Anura; Pelobatidae.